Anolis carolinensis (green anole) is the source of this 6524-nucleotide long non-coding RNA. RefSeq lists it as uncharacterized. Lineage: Eukaryota; Metazoa; Chordata; Lepidosauria; Squamata; Anolidae. The record is from RefSeq and is a predicted model, not a curated record. The transcript has 3 exons.
UGGCCAGCUGCUUCAUUUCCUCUUUUUUGCUCAUUUAGGACAUUUUGCAUGCUAAAUUGGCUCCUACUAAGAAACAGAACAAAAUUGAUUCUCUUCCCCCACCUCAUCUAACUUAAAGAAGCAGAAAAAAUUCAGGGAGGGGGAAGAGAUUAAAGGUGAUCCUGUGUCUCCACAGACAACCUAGCCAGUGUUUUAUAUUGUCAGAAAGAUAACAGUGGCACACAGGCUAGAGCAAAAAAAACAAAACAAAACCCAAACUUUGAUACAGAUGUGUCUGAGUGUACUGGGAUACUUAUUGAAAUGCACUAAAUAACUUGUAAGCCUGAGAUUCAAAGACGACUAAAGAGGAUUAAAUAAUCUGAAAUAGGCCAGAACUACUUUGUUGCUGUUGUUUUAACUUCGUUAAAAGGAAAAUCCAUUUGGAGGAUGCCUGAUGAAAACUCUCUGUCCUGCAUAAAUGGAAAUAAGAUGCUGGCAAAUGACUUUUUUUAGAGAGAGGAGAAAAGAGAAUUGUUAUUAUUUUUUCGAAGAAAAGAAAAUACCUCAAACCAAAGAUGUACUUUAAAAUAAAACUUGGAAAAUUGUUAGGACUUGCAAUAGCCUGCGUACUUGCAAUCUAGGGCAUGCUAGCCAAAGAGAAAAGCUUAACAGAUUGACUAAUCCAUUCGUUUGUUUGUUUAUUUAUUUAUUUUGCAAAUGUGAUCCUCCUACCACAUCUCUCCCCCCACCCCCCAGUCACAGCCAGAAAGCUGGUGAUUUGAUGUAGUGAAGUUCAGAACGGUGAGGCUAUGGCUAGAAUUCAAAAUGGACAAGCUGGAAAUAAUGGUCACUUUGGGUUUUAAGGGGGGAAAUGUAGAGCCACUGUGUGUGCAUUUGUGUGCUGUGGUUGUACAGUCUCAAAGGUCACUGUGCAUAGGUGUCACUCCGUAGUGCAGCAGGUGUGAACCGUAUGACACCAUUAGGAAGCAUGAUACCAAAAUGCCUGUCUAUAAUAUUUUUGAAGUGUUUAGAUAUAACAAAAUUUUGAUACAGUGUUCCCUCACUUAUCGUGGGGGUUAGGUUCCAGGACCACACGCAAUAAGUGAAAAUCCGCAAAGUAGGAACACUAUAUUUAUUUUAAUUUUAGUAGUAAUACACUAUUUUAAGUCUUUAUCAACCAAUCAUGUGUUGAUAAAUCGCCUCCUUCUCCUCCUGUUGCCGCUUGGACUCCUUUUCUCUCCUUUUGGCUUUUCCUUCCUCCCAUCCUUAGGCUGUAAAUUGUAAUUUUUAUGAUUUAUAAUAUUCUCUUAGAGUUUAUUGAAAAACCGUGAAACAGCGAAUCCGCGAAAAGUGAACCGCAAAGUAGUGAGGGAACACUGUAUAACCUUAAAAUGUAUAAGCCCAGCUUACAUGUACUGUUUUAAUAUUCCUAAAAGGGUACAACUGUAUGCUGAUUUACUUUUUGAACCUUCCAGUGUGCAUGUGAACUAUCAUUAUCACCCAGUUACAAUGACCAUUUGAAUCAGGUAGUUUCAUUUGCACAUGCACUGUUGUUUUCAGUGUUGCUGGGGUAUGUGUGUGUGUGUGUGUGUGUGUGUGUGUGUGUGCUGAUUUUGUCACAUUUCUAGUUUUUUGAUCUACAGUAUUAUGAUCUGGUCUGAUACAGGAAGAGGUCCAUUAUGAGUUACUGCAGAAACGUAUGCUACACCGUGGGGACGUUAGAAUUCCACCACCAUUGCAUGGUUUUUCUUUUCUUUCAUAUUCUUAACUUUUAUCCAGUGGCAUAUUAUUCUGUACUGGUACACACAAGAGCUGCCUGUCUGUAACAGUUAUCUAUAGUACAAUAAAUAGAUCACUAAGUUUAACAGGUUGAGGCAUUCUACACAGAUUAAAGCAGUUAAAACAAAUUUCUUGGUUCAAAUGGAAGUAAGUUCUUGUUUGCUUAAUAUUCCCCGUUUCUAUUUGUGAUGACUUACAAGAGCAUAGUCAUCUUCUCUAGGGUGCUUUCCUUGGUUGGUCCCAUUGAAAAGAACAGGCAAUGUACAAAAGGGCUUCUGUAUUUCUGCAUACAUCCUAUUCCUAUUCACGUCACCUGAAUCAGCAUACAAGAACCUUACAAUAGAGUGUACCCUCAACUUUCUAACUGCCCUGAAGGAAUUGAAUAUAGUUAACAAGAAGGGGAGUUCUCUUGUCAGCCAAGUCCUGUAGAACUCAAAGACUUUGUUCUAAGACAUUGUUAGGAAAGACCACAGGAUUUAUGGAUUUGCUUUCCCCAAGGCACACACGCACACACACACACACAGUUGGUCCUAUUGUAAGGCAACCGGAAUCUGAAACUUUCUGACACUCUACUGCCAAUCACUCAGAAGCCUUUUAGUUGGUCCCAAUCUACCUUCUGCCCACAUAAAGGGUAUACCAACAGAAAGGGUAUACAGACAAAGCUCUCUGACCAUAAGGCAAUUCUGCUUAUCUCACUUAAUACGCUUUCAAAAAUAAUCUCCAGUUUUGCUAAUACAAUAACACUGUCAUGGUUCAGUAAUACCAGCAUCCAGUAAGACUAUGAAUGGUCUGUAAACCUUCAAUAUGCUUCCCAUUUGUACAAAACCCAGACUUUGGUACUCUCAUAGAAUUAUAAUUAAAAUUGUCCAAACUUGUGUAGGAAAAACCCAAUAUAAACUGAUUUUAAACCAGUUCAGCAUUUGCUGAUUCUUGAGAGGAUGAAGAAGUUGCUGAAUGAGGAGCAGUUGAAAGAGCUGGGCAUAUUCAUAUUUGGUGAAGAGAAGACUGGAGAUUUUGCAUUCAGUAGGGGGUUGGACCUAAUGGCCUAUGACAGUGGUUUUCAACCUGGGGUCCCCAUAUGUUUUUGGCCUUAAAUUCCCAGAAAUCCUAACAGCUGGGAUUUCUGGGAGUUAUAGGCCAAAAACAUCUGGCCCCCUCAGGUUGAGAACCAAUGGCCUAUGAGGCCCAACUCUAGAAUCUAAGAUUCUAUAAUUCUUGCUCUAAUCUAUACAGAAACUCUCGGUUAACCAGAUGGCCUUUAUUUCUAAAAUAUUGAUAUUGCUGCAAAUUUAUUAUCUAACAUAAGUUAUACAGAGCCAGGGAAACUUAUUCUUUGGACAGCAAAGCUAUUGGUUAUAGUCCAAAAAAAAACUUUUGAUGUUCAUUAAGCUUAGAAUUGCACAUCAUUGUUUUACCCAUGGAGACAAAGCAAUAUAUGAAAAUUUUGCUACCAGUGGAGCAGUGAGUUUAUUGCAGGCUUUAGUGAAAAUGUCAAGGAAGAUGUCUGAGAAUCUGGACCUAUUUUGGAGACAGUGCUCAUCUGCUUGGAUAGUUCCAAUAAGGUUCAGAAGAAAUCCAAAGUGAAUCCAUUGCCCACUAAAAUGGAAUCUAUACUGAACUCUAUGUGUGUGUGUGUGCAUAAUAUUUAUUUUGUGGAUCUUUUGUAAAAGGAUUGACUCUUAAUUGCCCAUUCAAAUCAGAAUAAUCCCAUGCACAACCAUAUAUUGUUGAGAAAAUGUAUGCCCAACAUGGUUGUUGUAUGUUUUCCUGGCUAUAUGGCCAUGUUCCAGAAGUAUUUUCUCCUAAUGUUUUGCCCACAUCUAUGGCAGGCAUCCUCAGAGGUUGUGAGGUCCAACAUUUUUCAGGGACUGCAGAAAAGCUCAGAAGGAAUAGGGAAACUACUGUAUGUAUGUACAGAGGGCCCUUGGUAUCCCCUAGGAUCUGGUUCCAGGAUCUCCUUUAGAUGCCAAAAUCUAGUCCCAUUAUAUACAAUGGUAUUGCCGUUGGUUUGCUUUUGAGAUUUUUUAAAAAAUGUUCUCAAGCCAUGGGUGGUUGGAUCCAUGGAUACAAUAUCCAUAGAUAUGGAGGCCAAACUGAAUGUAUGUCACAUCAUCAUCCAUGCUAAUCAGUGGAUUUUAACUUGUGUUUUAACUGUGUGCUUUGUAUGUCUUUUAAUAGUGUUUUUUCUCUUGUUUUAAUUAUGUUGUAUCCCACUUCGAGCUGCAGGGAGAGGCAGGGAAUAAAUUCAUCAUCAUCAUCAUGAAACUGUCCUGGUGCUUUGACUCUUUGAGUCCUUCUUCCAGGACAGGACUGGAAAUGGGCUAAAAGGGAAACCAAUUGCUUCCAGGAGGAUGGAGCCAAUGAGAAACAGAUGAAGGGAAUGGCAAUAGGAAAGACUCUUUCUGAGCUGUGGUGCUUAUUAUGUCCAAGGAGUCAGCAAGGGAAGCAAAGGGAGGCAUGUAUGCUCUACCUUUCCAUCUCCUCCUCCUACCACAGGCACAAUGCUGCUGCGGCUGCAGGAGAGAGGCUUGCCAGCUCUUGGCAUCUGGGUUCUGCAGCUGUCAAGUAAACCCCAUGAGUAACCACAGCAGUUGGACGGAAACUAGAAGCAGAUAAAGCCUGAGCAGCAGCAAGGGGAUGGACGGGAUCACACACGACACCAUAAUCAACAGAAAUGGGAAAGUGCCAAGUUGAAGGGGGUUAUUGAAGACCAUCAUGAGUUUUCCUCGGUGGGGAAAGAGUUUGAAAGCCCUCCACCCCACCUGGCUAGAAUUCGCCCACACCUGGAAUGCCCUUCACAGCUACCUGGCUUCAAUUGGAAAUGCAUUACAUGCAUACUGGAUACAGAAGAGGAGGAGGGGAAGACUCAGGGAGGAAAAUCCUUCAAUGAAAUGUGGAUGAAAGCCAAGAGAGGACAAAAAUAUCCUGGCGGAUUAAAGUCUCUCUAGCCACACUUAGAUGGAAAGAUUAUGUGAAAUUCCUGAAUAAUGUGGAAUAAAAGGGACCCAAAGAUCAUUAACGAUAAUCAGAGAUUAACAUACACCAAAUGCAAGACGGCUGAGGCGGUGUUAUCUGCGAUCAAUUGAACUUAUUUUAGCAGCAAAAUAAGACAGAUUUGCAGCAUAAUAAUGACAAUAAUACAGAUAAAUAAGAUAACUCUUAAAUCUUUAAAGCAAUAUUUUAAAGUAUUUGUAAGACCUUGGUAAUAUAUCUGCAAAGGGAUGCCUCUCUGUAGUAUUAUAGACUGAAUGCCCCAGAUGUAAGAGGAAUAUUAGUCGGGUGGAAGGAGAUUCGGCAUCAGUGUAAUGACUUCAAAGAAUUUUUGUCUCCCAUCAUUUCACCUCUUAAGGAGAUGUCAGCCGUUUUUUCCCCUUUUAGAAACACAGGUCAAUUGCAACCUUUCCUCUUGUGGUUGCAGGGGUUUUCUGUUCUGGAAAUAGCCAGAUCACAGUAUACCAACAGAUGGAUUGAGGGGGGAAACACACAUCUGUGCAUACGGAAUUGGAAGAAGCUAAACUCUUUAGAAAACAAUAGAACCUUAGAGACAUCUGUUGUGGAAUCUCAAGAAGAAAGGGGUGCAUUACUUGCAAAUCCAUAGCAUGGGUAAUGCCAAAGACCCUCUUGCACAUUCCACUUUAAUGGGUACCUACAAACACUGCAUACCUAACAAAAAACAACACAUUAUGUAAAGUCUGAAUGGAAUAAUUUAUUACAAUCAACAGAUCAGACAAUAUGAAGUCUGUAUUUCUAAAAAUGGACUUAUCACUUCAAGUUGUUUUUUGACUUAUAGUAACCCUAAAAUGAAACUUCCAUGGGAUUUUUUCUGGGGCUUUGAGUGUGAACCUUAGUCAAGAUCAUCCAGUGGUUUCCAAGCCCAAAUCCUGAUCUUCAAAGUCAUAGUCAAAUGCUUGAACUACCACACAAUGCUGGCUUUCUGAACUUAACACUAGCUUUACUUAUUUGAAAAGAGGAGGCACAAAAGGGGGAGAUCCAGAAUGUGCUAGAGGUUAACUUUUUUCUACCAAUCCCUCACUUUCCAAAAUGGUGCUAAAAUGCUAUCUGCUGCAAACAGUAACUUUAGGAAUGAACUUUAUAUUUUGGUGUAGGGCGGGGUUAGGAGAUAAUUGGGAAAUGGCUGAAGGAAAUGGUUCAAAUAACCCAGUUGUAUUCUCAUUUGUGGAGGAGGACAGUGCUAUGUAAUUAAGGUGUAUAUGAAACAUAAAUGAAUUGUAGACUUGGGUCCCUUCUUCAAGACACCUUAUGCAAAUAUUCCAAAAUCUGAAACACUGAGGUACCCAAGCAUUUCAGAUUAAAGAUACACAACCUGUUCUGCGGAUAUCUAAAUCAAGAUUCACAUGUUUAAAGUUAAAAGUCACCCUUCCGCUCAACAUGAGUGCUGAGUUCUGAAAUCUAUGCUCUAUGUAGGCCAGGCUACUAAAUGUCAUGAAAUGUCACUUUAGCAACAGUUUCAUACACAUUAUGCAAAUAUAUUAAAAUUAUAGACCAUGUUAAAGUUCAACAUUUUUCUUGCUAAAAAUGUCCCUUUUUGGCCCAUACGUGGUACAGGAUGUGUAUGGGGAACAUUCAUUAGGAGUCUCCAGAAGGCCUCCUCCAUGAACAGAUUCAAGCAUUGAUACAUCUUGUUUGUCUUUGUUCGUUAGGCUGCAACACCAAAUUAUAGCUCAGGGGUAAGGCCCAUGGAUCACAUGCAAAACCAGGACAUCUCCUAAUCCAUUCAUUCUUCCAUGUUUUAAAAGAACAGAUUA